RNAcentral lists this ribosomal RNA (433 nucleotides) under uncultured bacterium. RNAcentral describes it as "partial 16S ribosomal RNA". It matches the Rfam family "Bacterial small subunit ribosomal RNA", at positions 29 to 507 of the family's 1533-position model. The record is from RNAcentral.
AACGAACGCUGGCGGCAUGCCUAACACAUGCAAGUCGAACGAGACCUUCGGGUCUAGUGGCGCACGGGUGCGUAACGCGUGGGAACCUGCCCCUAGGUUCGGAAUAACUCCCCGAAAGGGGUGCUAAUACCGGAUAAUGUCUUCGGACCAAAGAUUUAUCGCCUUUGGAUGGGCCCGCGUUGGAUUAGCUAGUUGGUAGGGUAAAAGCCUACCAAGGCGACGAUCCAUAGCUGGUCUGAGAGGAUGAUCAGCCACACUGGGACUGAGACACGGCCCAGACUCCUACGGGAGGCAGCAGUGGGGAAUAUUGGACAAUGGGCGAAAGCCUGAUCCAGCAAUGCCGCGUGAGUGAUGAAGGCCUUAGGGUUGUAAAGCUCUUUUACCCGGGAUGAUAAUGACAGUACCGGGAGAAUAAGCUCCGGCUAAUUCCGUG